UACGUAGGGCGCAAGCGUUGUCCGGAAUUAUUGGGCGUAAAGAGCUCGUAGGUGGUCUGUUACGUCUGCUGUGAAAACCCAGGGCUUAACCCUGGGCCUGCAGUGGAUACGGGCAGACUAGAGGUAGGUAGGGGAGAAUGGAAUUCCCGGUGUAGCGGUGAAAUGCGCAGAUAUCGGGAGGAACACCGGUGGCGAAGGCGGUUCUCUGGGCCUUACCUGACACUGAGGAGCGAAAGCGUGGGGAGCGAACAGG
This 253-nucleotide ribosomal RNA is filed under the name uncultured bacterium. RNAcentral describes it as "partial 16S ribosomal RNA". It matches the Rfam family "Bacterial small subunit ribosomal RNA", at positions 524 to 776 of the family's 1533-position model. The record is from RNAcentral.